RNAcentral lists this ribosomal RNA (253 nucleotides) under uncultured bacterium. Its description in RNAcentral is "partial 16S ribosomal RNA". It matches the Rfam family "Bacterial small subunit ribosomal RNA", at positions 524 to 776 of the family's 1533-position model. The record is from RNAcentral.
UACAGAGGUGGCGAGCGUUGUUCGGAUUUACUGGGCGUAAAGGGAGCGUAGGCGGCUUGAUGUGUCGGGUGUGAAAUCCCACGGCUUACCCGUGGAACUGCACCCGAAACUAUUAGGCUAGAGUAUCGGAGAGGUAAGUGGAAUUCCUGGUGUAGCGGUGAAAUGCGUAGAUAUCAGGAAGAACACCGGUGGCGAAGGCGACUUACUGGACGAAUACUGACGCUGAGGCUCGAAAGCUGGGGGAGCGAAAAGG